RNAcentral lists this small RNA (287 nucleotides) under Thalassovita gelatinovora. RNAcentral describes it as "Thalassobius gelatinovorus 5' ureB small RNA". It matches the Rfam family "5' ureB small RNA". Lineage: Bacteria; Pseudomonadati; Pseudomonadota; Alphaproteobacteria; Rhodobacterales; Roseobacteraceae. The record is from Rfam by way of RNAcentral.
CCUCUUCGAUCUGUUGCGGGCAGAUGAAAUGGAUAUGGCUGUCAAAACCGCCGGCAGUCAGGAUCCGGCCUUCGCCCGCGAUCACCUCGGUGCCCGGGCCGACGAUGAUGUCGACGCCCGGUUGGGUGUCGGGAUUGCCGGCCUUGCCGAUCUUGGCGAUGCGGCCACUUUUGAGGCCGACAUCGGCCUUAUAGAUGCCCGUCCAGUCGACGAUCAGCGCGUUGGUGAUCACGGUGUCCACCGCGCCGCCCGCGCGGGUGACCUGGGAUUGGCCCAUACCGUCGCGG